ACCGACCAGCCCAAGAAACAUCUCACCAAUUUCAAAUCCGCGGCCAGGCGUUCCUCCAGAACCUCCUCCCACAGGAGCUUGCUACACGUGCCGGAAAUCUGGCCACUGGGCCAAGGAAUGCCCGCAGCCUGGGAUUCCUCCUAAGCUACGUCCCAUCUGUGUGGGACCCCACUGAAAAUCGGACUGUUCAACUCACCUAGCAGCCACUCCCAGAGCCCCUGGAACUCUAGCCCAAGGCUCUCUGACUGACUCCUUCCCAGAUCUUCUCGGCUUAGCGGCUGAAGACUGACACUGCCCGAUCGCCUCAGAAGCCCCCUAGACCAUCACGGAUGCUGAGCUUCGGGUAACUCUCACAGUGGAAGAUUGUCUUACAGGUGGGCCAGUAUGUACAACCUAACACUGAGUUUUCAAGGAACAAGUUUCUGUUGCUGCUGCUCUAGCAUUCAUGCACUGUGGAGCCCGGAAACUUCUCGGGACAAGGAGCACAAUGCCAGGCCUUGUCGAGGGCCGCUGCAGUGGAGAGGCCAGACCGGGGGUGCCAGAGCCAACCGCAGACCAAGGAAGUGAACCCUGCACAUCCGGAUACUUGAAAUGUCAGCUUGUGGAGGAUCUCCCGCAGGAAUCUGACUUUAUACACAAACAAAGACAUUGAGCUUUCUGCUGAGGUGAGCUCAGAACGGAUGAACUUAGUCUUCUCUGCAGUGAUGCAAGCCUCUGUCAUGUGGAAGUUACAGACGAUGCUAGUGAAAUGUGGAUGGUCUCCUGGCCCACUGCAUCAUGCAAGAGGGCUGCUU
RNAcentral lists this long non-coding RNA (794 nucleotides) under Homo sapiens (human). RNAcentral describes it as "novel transcript". The record is from RNAcentral. Lineage: Eukaryota; Metazoa; Chordata; Mammalia; Primates; Hominidae.